AUGCGAGGGGUCACAGCACCUGGAGCUCUGAGAGAGGUGAUAAAUCUCGCUGAGGCUGCAUGGGGAAGAGGUAGUGUGUGCAGGGAAGUUAUGGGGAGCAAUUCUGGUGUGCUGUUUCAGCCUCAGGGAGAAAAGCCUCUGCAGAAGCUUAAGAAGGCCUUCAAGCAGCUGCUAAGUAGAGGAGUACAGCACCUUCAGCAGAGUGAAUCAGAACCUCGUGGGACCAGACCUUUAUCUUCUUGGUGGAUGCAACUAUCAAUUGAUAGCUACACAAACCUGCUGCCGAUGGCUGCCCAGCUCAGCUCCCCUGCUUCCAGCACAGGCCUGGCCCCCUGCCCCACGGUUCCACUGCUGAUUCUCUUGCUGUGCCUGUCUGAAGAGCCUCACCAUCAUGCCAGACACUUGGGCUCAGGAAGGGCUCCCCAGAGCCCCCACUCGGAUGCCUUCACCGUCCUUCUCUUCCCGUUCUGCCCGGCAGCCGUGGAUCUCCUUCCAUGCUCGGCGGGGGUACUGAGGGUUGCCCCCGGGCCCAUCUCAGCGGUGCCUGUGGCCAGGACGCCUCCGCCACGCACUGCGGCCUGCUCCUGGCGCGGCGCCUUCCCCCUGCGUCGGGUUGCUAAGGGACUGCUGGAGCUCCUCCGGAGUGUCAUCGUCUCAUGGCUCACUUCCUGCAACAUCCUCUUCUCCAGCCUUGACAAAUGCAAUCUUCUCCCACUUCUGCUUAUUUAG
RNAcentral lists this long non-coding RNA (729 nucleotides) under Anser cygnoides (Swan goose). RNAcentral describes it as "lncRNA (ENSACDG00005014127.1)". The record is from RNAcentral. Lineage: Eukaryota; Metazoa; Chordata; Aves; Anseriformes; Anatidae.